UAAAAGUGAGGAUUGUCCUCGUUGCUGCGCAGAAGGCUUAUGUACUUAAUGCACCACUCGGUGUGCUGCACCUCGAGCAUCGUCUGUGGAUGUUGUGAACAUCCGACAUACACGUUUCUGAUGACUACGCGAUAGUUUAGUGCAAAAUACUCAAUGGCUUAGAAGCAAGGUGCCGAAGACGUUUUGAGACGUCACGGAACAUAAGAGAUGUUCUAAAGAGAUGAAAUUG
Molecule: long non-coding RNA, 229 nt
Filed under: Hordeum vulgare
Lineage: Eukaryota; Viridiplantae; Streptophyta; Magnoliopsida; Poales; Poaceae
Description: long non-coding RNA (HVUL_LNC020398)
Source: RNAcentral